UUUGACCAUCUGUAGAUGACCCCAUAUUAACACAGCACUCAAAGAAUUAUGAUUUCAUUAUUUCAGCUAGAUAAGAGCUAAACAACUACACCUUCCUCUCUGCCCUUCGCCUUGGAACAGCAUCAGUAAAUGCCCAACUUUUAAGCCGAGGAGAAGUCUAGCUAAUAGCAGCACUAAAGGUGGAAGAUAAAAGAAGAUUGGCUUAAUUGCUAUUUUUCACACGACAUGUUCUGUAAAUGCAUAAUUGAUUGUGGCGGUUCUACAAAUCAAAGCCCAACCACAUGCAUAGCCUUACAGGAUCACUUCGGUUGAACCCAAAAGUAAAUAUCAUUCCAGUAAUCCUGCUCUUGUUUCUUUCAAGUACCUAUGGUAGCUACAAAGAUGAUAUCUGGGGUGAUAUUGUGCCAAUAACUGUUAGAUAAUUCUUCUUGGAAGAUAUACAGCAAAGAUACAUAACAAAGUGGAAAUGCAAAUAUUUGCCCUUAUAGCCUAUAUAUAUAUAUACUUACCCGCGCUAUCCAAAAUGCAAUUUUAUGUAGACAGUAAAG
Molecule: long non-coding RNA, 548 nt
Filed under: Gossypium barbadense (sea-island cotton)
Lineage: Eukaryota; Viridiplantae; Streptophyta; Magnoliopsida; Malvales; Malvaceae
Description: long non-coding RNA (GBAR_LNC019852)
Source: RNAcentral